UAUUAUAAAUGGCCAAUAAGAGAUGGAUCAAUUCUCAGGAAACAAUUUAACUAUUCUGACUAUUUCUAUCCAGGAUGGAUCGGAUUUUGAUUGGCAGCAAGAUAUGGGUCGGAAACUAGAAACAAUUUUGCGAGAACUAUACUGACUAUUUCUACCUAGGAUAGAUCGGAUUUUGAUUGUUUUUUUUCUAUUGUAAGUUAAAAG
Molecule: long non-coding RNA, 204 nt
Filed under: Mytilus galloprovincialis (Mediterranean mussel)
Lineage: Eukaryota; Metazoa; Mollusca; Bivalvia; Mytilida; Mytilidae
Source: RNAcentral